Astyanax mexicanus (Mexican tetra) is the source of this 368-nucleotide long non-coding RNA. RefSeq lists it as uncharacterized. The record is from RefSeq and is a predicted model, not a curated record. NCBI's taxonomy places the organism in Eukaryota, Metazoa, Chordata, Actinopteri, Characiformes, Acestrorhamphidae. The transcript is spliced from 3 exons.
UGCCAGUAGGUGGCGGUAAUGCCCCUUUAAGUUUGUUACCAACUGCUGUAAAACUCGAAGAAGAAGAAGAAAACUAUUAUGGGCUGGACUGGCGGUUGAAUGUAGCUACAACUUACGUCCAUGUGAGAAGGUACCUAGUAUUUUUCUACUUCUCCUAUCCUGUUUCUCACCUCCAUGUUGCAACAUAGAUUUAGUGCUGCAAAUUGUGUGACAGUUCAUUACCUACUAGGUGUGAGUCAGGUAUGGACAGUCAGACAGACAACCUGAUUAAGGUGAUUAAUGCCAAAUCUGAAGCUGCAGGAGGAAAGAUCACCGCCAUAAUGGCCCAGAUGGAUGGUGUACGUCUCUCUCUCUCUCUCUCUCUCUCU